AGCCAGACUCCUACGGGAGGCAGCAGUGGGGGAUAUUGGACAAUGGGGGAAACCCUGAUCUAGCGACGCCGCGUGAGUGAAGAAGUAUUUCGGUAUGUAAAGCUCUAUCCGCAGGGAAGAAAGAAAUGACGGUACCUGAGUAAGAAGCCCCGGCUAACUACGUGCCAGCAGCCGCGGUAAUACGUAGGGGGCAAGCGUUAUCCGGAAUUACUGGGUGUAAAGGGAGCGUAGACGGUUAAGCAAGUCUGGAGUGAAAGGCGGGGGCUCAACCCCCGGACUGCUCUGGAAACUGUACGGCUGGAGUGCAGGAGAGGUAAGUGGAAUUCCUAGUGUAGCGGUGAAAUGCGUAGAUAUUAGGAGGAACACCAGUGGCGAAGGCGGCUUACUGGACUGUAACUGACGUUGAGGCUCGAAAGCGUGGGGAGCAAACAGGAUUAGAUACCCCUGUACUA
This 452-nucleotide ribosomal RNA is filed under the name uncultured bacterium. RNAcentral's name for it is "bacterial SSU rRNA". It matches the Rfam family "Bacterial small subunit ribosomal RNA", at positions 329 to 797 of the family's 1533-position model. The record is from RNAcentral.